GAACAUUGUGACUUCCUUGUUUACAUUUCAUUCCUUGGUUUGUUCCUAUUAUUUUCUUACAUUUGGGUUCUUUUCCAUAGAGACUUUUGACCCUUUCACCUACAAUCCCAACCGCUUUGACUAGAGAAUUACUUUUCAAAUCAAGGGAUUCAUAUUAAUAUUCUUUUCCAACUUUAUUUUAAUUAAUUUACACUUUUGUCUUUUCAUAUCUUGGACACUAUAUUUACAGGAUU
This 233-nucleotide non-coding RNA is filed under the name Symbiodinium sp. CCMP2430. The record is from RNAcentral. Lineage: Eukaryota; Dinophyceae; Suessiales; Symbiodiniaceae.